AAUGACUUCAAACACCCACCCAGAGUUCUGCAGGUGAUGGGUGCCUUUCGGAGGACGCGUCCCCCAGCCUGUCUGAAAAGCAGAGAGGAGCGGAGCCGUGGCAGCUGCUGCUCCCACUAUGCAGGAGGAAACCAACCGUGGUGGUUGUGGAAGAUUUGCAGAUGGGAUUUUCUUCUAAAUCCCACUUUCCCAUCAUAAUGAGACAGUAGAAAUUGUCCUGUCUAAAUUACUGACGCCUGUUUCCCUACGUGGGACAGCAGAAAGAGCUUCGUUACGAAGAAAAGAAGCAGAGGAUGAAAAGAAAGCUGACUACCUGGGCUGCUGCUGGGAUGGGACAUGCUAGAGCUUCUCAGAAGGCCAUUCUAUGAUUCAAUGCAAUGCACCUGAGUGACCCAGAUGUCGUUUAAGGGUUGGCAGUGGAAGCAAGAGCGUCUCUUGCAAGAGAUCCUUGCCUACCUGAAGUCUUCCAAAGCCACUGAUUUUGGCUGCCUUAACUUGGAAAGAUGCCCCCUUGAUGAAUGUGUGAUCUCCUGAUAGCUGGGUGCAGUGCUACCGUGGUCCAGAGCUCUGCAUGAGGCACCAUGAUGUCGCCUGACAAAUGUAAAGAAAGUCCAACUGUUGUUUGCAGUAUUUCAGCAGCUGGAGCCUCACAGGAGCUAUCGCUGUCUGGCUGACACAGAGGCACCAUUCUGG
This 693-nucleotide long non-coding RNA is filed under the name Gallus gallus (chicken). RNAcentral describes it as "lncRNA (ENSGALG00010025273.1)". The record is from RNAcentral. Lineage: Eukaryota; Metazoa; Chordata; Aves; Galliformes; Phasianidae.